Molecule: transfer RNA, 30 nt
Filed under: Mertensia ovata var. caelestina
Lineage: Eukaryota; Viridiplantae; Streptophyta; Magnoliopsida; Boraginales; Boraginaceae
Description: partial tRNA-Leu
Source: RNAcentral
GCCGCUAUGGAGAAAUUGGUAGACACGCGC